UAGCAAUUCUACUCCUUUAGUAAACUCCGCAACAUAUUCAGAACUCCUGAAGAGCCAUAUACAAAACCAGUAAGCUCAACAACUUUGCGGAAUAAUUCUUUAAAAACCCUUAUUUUAAAAAUAUCUUCCAAGAUCAAAUCUGUAUAAUGAGUUGCACAUGGAGUAUAGCAUAGAUGGGAAAAAUUUGCUUCCAACAUUCUUCUUGACAUAAACAA
Molecule: unclassified non-coding RNA, 215 nt
Filed under: Hevea brasiliensis (rubber tree)
Lineage: Eukaryota; Viridiplantae; Streptophyta; Magnoliopsida; Malpighiales; Euphorbiaceae
Source: RNAcentral